UUUAUUUACAGGCCCACUCGUACGUUGGUUUCGGCACACCACAACCAACUUUUCCUUUUCAGAUACUAUCCAUUACGUAUUAAAUUCCGAGCACAAAUAUAUAUAUAUAUUUUAAUUGGGGUAGCACCCAAAAUAUUGGGACUUAUAAAAAAAGACAACUCUGUUCAGCAGAGUAGAUGUUGACAUUAUAGUUGCGCAGGCACUUUGUUGACUCUAGAGAACCUCGGGCCAAUCGCACAUCACCGUGGCUGCGACUUUGCAUGAGGAUGUCAUCCAUAUCAACUUUCUAUUCUGCACCUACCAUGGUGACCACAGGUAACGGGGAAUCAGGGUUCCAUUCCGUACAGGGACCCUGAGAAACGGCUACCACAUGCAAGGAAGGCAGCAGGCGCACAAAUGACCCACUCCCAACGCGGGAAGGUAGUGACGACAAAUAACAACACAGGACUCUUUAGUGUAAUGAGUCCACUUGAAAUCCUUUAACUCUGAUCAAUUGGAGGGAAGUCUGGUGCAGAGCCACCGACCCGUGCGUGCUGCAGCUGAAACUCCACUGUCGCCUGCAGCUGCUCCCACA
Molecule: non-coding RNA, 574 nt
Organism: Pelobates cultripes (western spadefoot toad)
Lineage: Eukaryota; Metazoa; Chordata; Amphibia; Anura; Pelobatidae
Source: the annotation of a GenBank genome assembly